This 494-nucleotide ribosomal RNA is filed under the name uncultured bacterium. RNAcentral describes it as "partial 16S ribosomal RNA". It matches the Rfam family "Bacterial small subunit ribosomal RNA", at positions 28 to 507 of the family's 1533-position model. The record is from RNAcentral.
GACGAACGCUGGCGGCGCGCUUAACACAUGCAAGUCGAACGGAAAGGCCUGCUUUCCCUUGUGGAUUGCGGGUACUCGAGUGGCGAACGGGUGAGUAACACGUGAGUGAUCUGCCCCCAACUUGGGUAUAAGCCUGGGAAACUGGGUCUAAUUCCCGAUAGGACUGCAGGGUGGUGCCUGUGGUGGAAAACGAUUUUCUAGUGGUUGGGGAUGAGCUCGCGGCCUAUCAGCUUGUUGGUGGGGUAAUGGCCUACCAAGGCGGCGACGGGUAGCCGGCCUGAGAGGGUGGACGGCCACAUUGGGACUGAGAUACGGCCCAGACUCCUACGGGAGGCAGCAGUGGGGAAUAUUGCACAAUGGGCGGAAGCCUGAUGCAGCGACGCCGCGUGGGGGAUGACGGCCCUCGGGUUGUAAACUCCUUUCGACCGCGAGGAAGCCACCUGGUUGGAAGGGUGGUGACGGUAGUGGUAGAAGAAGCACCGGCUAACUACGUG